Molecule: ribosomal RNA, 397 nt
Filed under: uncultured bacterium
Lineage: Bacteria
Description: partial 16S ribosomal RNA
Rfam family: Bacterial small subunit ribosomal RNA
Source: RNAcentral
AUACGUAGGGGGCGAGCGUUGUCCGGAAUGAUUGGGCGUAAAGGGCGCGUAGGCGGCCUGUUAAGUCUGGAGUGAAAGUCCUGUUUUCAAGAUGGGAAUUGCUUUGGAUACUGAUGGGCUUGAGUGCAGGAGAGGUUAUCGGAAUUCCCGGUGUAGCGGUGAAAUGCGUAGAGAUCGGGAGGAACACCAGUGGCGAAGGCGGGUAACUGGACUACAACUGACGCUGAGGCGCGAAAGUGUGGGGAGCAAACAGGAUUAGAUACCCUGGUAGUCCACACUGUAAACGAUGAAUGCUAGGUGUAAGAGGUAUCGACCCCUUUUGUGCCGGAGUUAACACAAUAAGCAUUCCGCCUGGGGAGUACGGCCGCAAGGUUGAAACUCAAAGGAAUUGACGGGG